RNAcentral lists this small RNA (953 nucleotides) under Drosophila virilis. Its description in RNAcentral is "GJ26919". The record is from RNAcentral. Lineage: Eukaryota; Metazoa; Arthropoda; Insecta; Diptera; Drosophilidae.
UGUAAUUGGGAAUAAGCAAAUGCAAAGUGCCAAGUAAAUGUAUUUGUAAAAAUGUAUGUGUACAGACGAAUGAAUAUAAGUAUGUACAAUUCUUAACAUCGGGAAAUUUCCAUUAAUACAAAAUUAUCGUUCGCUUAUGGGACAACUUUUAAAAAAAGCAAAACGCGUGUCAAAUAUGUAUUUUCGUCUUUCUACUGCCCGGCGUCGAACGCGUGUAGGCGAAUGAAAAUGAAAAGCAAAACAAAGCCCGAUAAACCAAAGCGUAUCCCAAAAUAAAGACAAGUCGCUGAUAUUACAAUUGAUAUUAUACAUGUUUAAAUAUGUUAAUUCGUACUGAAAUUCAACAUUAUUAGCCAAUUGUAUACAAUAACAUCUGAUAGAGUAUGUGCUCAAUACGUACCCGGGUGUAUGUAUGUAAAUACGAUAAGCAUGGGCAUAUACAUAAAUUCAUACUUUAAUGACUUUUAAUCUGCAAAUGCUGUAACUAGGGCAUCUUCUAUAUGCCCAUCUUCGUAACAAAAAACAAAUAAAGAAAAAAAAACACUAUUUUUGUAUAUGUAUAUAUAAGUAUAUUGUAUAGUCACAAAAAUCGGAAUAUGAAAUGAAAAUCAUGCAGCAUAUAAACUAAAAUACGUAUUAUAUAAAUUAUACAAAAUAUAAGGUUUUUUAUUUAUACAUAACUUUUAAACAUAAUUAUGGCCGAACGUCAUUUCACUUUUAUUUCAGUUUUAUUAUUUCUUUCAUCUCUCUUGAUUUUUUUUUACUUAAAUGCUAGCCACAUAUAACGCUUCUUUUGUCUCUUCUGUCUUUUUAUACACAAGCAAAAUAUUUCUUGAUUAUACCCAAAUCGAAUUGUUCGGAUUGACCGCCCACAUGCUGCAAUUUCAACUAUGUAUAUACACCUUUGAAAAUUCAACGCUAACUUGUAAAACAAAAGACGCCUACUGCCUACA